This 803-nucleotide long non-coding RNA is filed under the name Rattus norvegicus (Norway rat). Its description in RNAcentral is "long non-coding RNA NONRATT027947". Lineage: Eukaryota; Metazoa; Chordata; Mammalia; Rodentia; Muridae. The record is from RNAcentral.
AACGCUUUUAUAGGAGUACAGGGAGGCUGCAGCAGCUCAGAGUCAGUAAAGGGAACAGGAGAAGAGAGACAUGGUGACAGUGGGAGACUCAUUGUACACUGCAGGAAUUGAACUAAAAAGGCAACUCGAAGAUAAUGGCAGCCAGGCUUCACCCUGUCAGAGACAGAGGCCUCAAGACUUGCAGAUGGAGUUAGCGUGUGACCCAGAGCUUCCCCCUUUUGGAUUUAUAUACCAGCAUGAUUAAAAACAAAAGCUCAAACAAUCAUUUCACAUAUUGUCAUGGGAACAGCCUUCAUAACAGCCCACAGAGGAAACAAUACAAAUUUCUAUCAACUGAUGGAUAAAAAAUGGCGGUGUGUUCCUUACACAGGAAUACUGUUGAGCUCCAGAAGGGAAUAGACUAUUGACAGGUGGUAUUAUGUAAGUGAACCUUGUAAACAUCUCACUGAGUGAAAGAAACCAGACAUAAAAUGUCACACAGUGUAUAAUUCUAUUUGUACAAGAUAUCCUCAAAAGGCCAAUUUUUUAGAGACAUAAGGCAGGUAUGUGGUUGCCAGAAGCUGUAAGGAAGAAUAACUAGUGACUGCUAACAGGUGUGUGAUCUCUUUGGGGAUUUGUAAACCUGCUCUGGAGUUAACUGCCAUGAUUGUACAACCUUGUAAACAUUCCAAUGUCCCCUGAAUUGUACGCUUGAAAAUUAUGAAUUUUAAAGUGUGAACUAGAUCUCAAAGACAGAAAAUUAGGAACACAUUUAUGUGAAGAUAUUUGAAAACAAAUGAAAUAAAUACUCUUGGACAAACACU